CUUUCCCAGUGUAUCCUUCCCUUCUUCUUUCUCAUCCUCUUUCUAUUCUUCUUCUUCUUCUCAUUUUAAGUUACAAUUCCAUUUACAACUCAAACUCUAAUAAAGGAAUUUUAAGUCUAAAGCAAGAUUGUGUCUAGCUCUACAAUUACACGAUAGAAUUUUGGGAUUAAGGUUAUUGCUUCAUGGAAGGAGAAGAGUACCCAUCAUUGGAAAGUUGUUUAUUAAGACUCUUUGACGUAAAUACACAACCCAUAACUCAAUUAAGGCAUCUCUAGUCAUGGAUAGUUUGAUUUAGAAACUUAUUUUAGAGUUUAGAGUAGGUAUUAAAGGAAUUUAGGACCGCAUAUGAUUAGAAAAGUUUUAGAAUACUCAUUUUAAUCUUGAAAUUAUUACUGAUGCUCAGAUUGGAUAAUUGGUACUUUGCUUGCUACUAUGGGAGCAGUUGGAGAGAAAAUGUGGUUGAUUCGACAUUGCAAUUUCCAAGCAGCUAAGUAGAGAGCUGCUGGUAGACUCAAAGUUCAGCCACGUCACUCUUUUUGGUAGGUUUCUUUGAUGGAUGUCUCUUUGUUCAUGUAUGUGUUAAGUCAGAGUAUCUGCAGCUGUUUGGAGUCUAUGAAUGUUUUAUUCUGAGAUGUACAAUUAUGUAAAUAUGUUAUUUUGAAAAUCUGGAUGAGAAUACAGGUUGACAAACAAGAUUAAAAUCUUGGAAAAUAUUGAAAAUACAGAGAAUACUUUGUCAAAAUUUCGGUAGAUAUUAUUUUGAAGUGAAAUUCAAAUUGGAAAUAGUCUAAA
Long non-coding RNA from Medicago truncatula (barrel medic), 792 nucleotides. RefSeq lists it as uncharacterized. Lineage: Eukaryota; Viridiplantae; Streptophyta; Magnoliopsida; Fabales; Fabaceae. The transcript is spliced from 2 exons. The record is from RefSeq and is a predicted model, not a curated record.